UAUGAGAAUGAGUAGGAUUGGAGU
RNAcentral lists this non-coding RNA (24 nucleotides) under Mus musculus (house mouse). Lineage: Eukaryota; Metazoa; Chordata; Mammalia; Rodentia; Muridae. The record is from RNAcentral.